UCCGAAAGGGGUUAGCGUUGUCCGGAUUUAUUGGGCGUAAAGAGCGUGUAGGCGGCCGAGCAGGUCCGUUGUGAAAACUGAAGGCUCAACCUUCAGAGGUCGAUGGAAACCGUUCGGCUAGAGUCCGGAAGAGGAGAGUGGAAUUCCUGGUGUAGCGGUGAAAUGCGCAGAUAUCAGGAAGAACACCCGUGGCGAAAGCGGCUCUCUGGGACGGUACUGACGCUGAGACGCGAAAGCGUGGGGAGAGAACAGG
RNAcentral lists this ribosomal RNA (253 nucleotides) under uncultured bacterium. Its description in RNAcentral is "partial 16S ribosomal RNA". It matches the Rfam family "Bacterial small subunit ribosomal RNA", at positions 524 to 776 of the family's 1533-position model. The record is from RNAcentral.